UACGUAGGUGGCAAGCGUUGUCCGGAUUUAUUGGGUUUAAAGGGUGCGUAGGCGGUUCUUUAAGUCAGCGGUGAAAUACGACAGCUUAACUGUCGAGGUGCCAUUGAUACUGGAGGACUUGAGUACUGAUGAGGUAGGCGGAAUGGACGGUGUAGCGGUGAAAUGCUUAGAUAUCGUCCAGAACACCGAUAGCGAAGGCAGCUUACUAAGGAGUAACUGACGCUGAGGCACGAAAGUGUGGGGAUCAAACAGG
This 253-nucleotide ribosomal RNA is filed under the name uncultured bacterium. RNAcentral's name for it is "partial 16S ribosomal RNA". It matches the Rfam family "Bacterial small subunit ribosomal RNA", at positions 524 to 776 of the family's 1533-position model. The record is from RNAcentral.